RNAcentral lists this long non-coding RNA (1078 nucleotides) under Oreochromis niloticus (Nile tilapia). Its description in RNAcentral is "lncRNA (ENSONIG00000028177.1)". Lineage: Eukaryota; Metazoa; Chordata; Actinopteri; Cichliformes; Cichlidae. The record is from RNAcentral.
UAUUUUUUGAGCACAAAAACAAACAAUGUUUAGUUGAUUAAUGAAUAAAAACACAGAGGCUCGGUUCAGCUGUGGUCAAAUUUAAACAUAUAUUGAUGCUAUUAGUUCUGAAAAGAGGAAGAAUGUCAUGUUUCUAUUAUGUUGAUUACUGACCGUGUACUCUCAGUGCUGCUUUUAAAUUAGGUUUGAGGAAACGAGUCCAAAAAUUGAAUUCAUCUUCAAAGUAUUUUUAAAGGGACAUUUAAAAAAAAUUAAAUAAAUAAUACCAGACUAAGCGCUAUGGCCUGAAGACAGCAUUCACGUGUGUGUCUUUAAAAACAGUGUGAGGUUUAAUUAAUGAGCCUGGAAAAAACUGAUGUGAAAAAAAAAAAGCAAAGGUAUGAAAGUCUGAAUUCAGAUCAAUAAAACCAAAGUCGAAAUCCGACCCCACAUCUGCCUGAUCAGAAGACUGCGGAGUCUUGACAUUAUUAGCCUGUUCUCUCUCCACAACUAGUUUCCUGCCUGCUCCAUGUGCACGUGGAUGCACGUGUAUGUGCGUUUUGGAGACAAAACUGUGUUAACCUCUCCAGCAGUAAUCCUGCAGCCUGCCACUCUGGGCACAACAGAGUCAUACCAGGACAGCCUUCCAUGUCUGUCUGGAACACACAGAACCUUUAUUAUCUUGCAGUGAUUCAGGGGCAUCUGGGGACGACCUGAUUGUCUGCUGAAUCCACGCAGACGCAUAAAGGGCUCGGUGGUGUACGAUGAACCCACCGGUAACUGUGUGACGAUGCGCUGGGGAGAUGAACCAGAACGGUGUUUGGAGACGGCAGCCUCACCUGACUGUCUGGAGCCUCGCUGCUCUCAGCACACAAGACACAGCCUGGAUCUUGGCAUGGGAGUAUGGGUCAUACAAGGACAUCCCAGAAUAGGAAAAACAGCCCGGACAGAGCCUGAAGCAAAGCACUAAGGGUGGCAGAGAUCCAGCUGAAACCACUAUAGUACACCGGCCACUGGAAAGUUAUUGAAUACACACGCCGCAGGUACGUAUGUACACCAAUUAUUGCAACAGAAGUUUCAGGGCUGUGAGGUGAUUCUG